GAGUUUGAUCGUGGCUCAGGAUGAACGCUGGCGGCGUGCUUAACACAUGCAAGUCGAACGAAGCACUCAGGAGCGAUUUCGGUCAAUCCUGUUUGACUGAGUGGCGGACGGGUGAGUAACGCGUGAGUAACCUACCUCGCAGUGGGGAAUAACAGUUGGAAACGACUGCUAAUACCGCAUAAUGCAGAGAGACCGCAUGAUCUUUCUGCCAAAGAUUUAUCGCUGUGAGAUGGACUCGCGUCUGAUUAGCUAGUUGGUGAGGUAACGGCUCACCAAGGCGACGAUCAGUAGCCGGACUGAGAGGUUGACCGGCCACAUUGGGACUGAGACACGGCCCAGACUCUAC
RNAcentral lists this ribosomal RNA (346 nucleotides) under bacterium enrichment culture clone ALO1_GLFRUDD03G73B5. Its description in RNAcentral is "bacterial SSU rRNA". It matches the Rfam family "Bacterial small subunit ribosomal RNA", at positions 9 to 342 of the family's 1533-position model. The record is from RNAcentral.